Molecule: non-coding RNA, 659 nt
Filed under: Pongo abelii (Sumatran orangutan)
Lineage: Eukaryota; Metazoa; Chordata; Mammalia; Primates; Hominidae
Source: RNAcentral
ACUCGACUCUGGGACUAUGAGGCAAUUCAUCCACACGCUCCAAACCCCAGCUUAUUGUAGGAGACCAGUGCCUCGAUCUCAUGAGGUCAUCUUGACGCCUCAGCUGUAACCCUUGGAGAAACUAUGAUCUUUGCUGCUCUGCCUGCUGACAUGAUCAUCCCAGGUGCAAAACAGGUAUGAGCCACUGGCAUUCCUGCGCACCAGUCUUCCAUCCUCUUUUCCUCAAGGGACCCACUGGCCAACCGGAUGUGCCGUUGUCCUGAGAACUGGCUUUACAUUUUGUGAGAUGUUUAAAGUCCAGGGAGGUCACUUAUAAGGAGGCACCUCUGUUCUCCAGGUGCACACACACAGCCUCCCGUUAUCCUGUCUUGCACGUGUGUCCUUAGGGGCCAGCACACUGGCUGCCUUCCAGAGUCUGCCUGGCUUUUCCAUCCCACCUCCACUCCCGAAGGCAUCCCGCUGCGGUCCUGGGGAUCUUGAAUAGAAGCCCCUGCAAAUACCUACUUACAUAAGCCACGUACACGUUCUGUGCUGUUCCACAGUGGCUCUUGGUGCAAUUCGUUUUUAUUUCCUGCAAGCAGACUUUAUUACUUAACUUUUUGCCCCCACAUUUCUUUAAUCUGCAAGAUGCAGCAAUGGAACUGGAUCAGAGAUCUUCA